UACAACGAUAUAACUGCGUGUGGUGCGA
RNAcentral lists this small RNA (28 nucleotides) under Bombyx mori (domestic silkworm). RNAcentral describes it as "ovarian small RNA-20059". The record is from RNAcentral. Lineage: Eukaryota; Metazoa; Arthropoda; Insecta; Lepidoptera; Bombycidae.